Molecule: non-coding RNA, 46 nt
Organism: Schistosoma mansoni
Lineage: Eukaryota; Metazoa; Platyhelminthes; Trematoda; Strigeidida; Schistosomatidae
Source: Rfam
AUUCAGCUGACGAGUCCCAAAUAGAACGAAACUCGCGUCCCGGAAU